GGUUGUUCUCUUGAAAUAUGAAGAGAUAAAUUCUUGGAAAAAUAACCACUGGAGAGUUUUGAGGCCAGCUCAGUAGCGUUCAGUUGCUGAUCUGCUGCUGACAUGGGCAGAGGCACCUCGGUGACUUCACAUCCAGCACCUGGCAGGUCUUGGUAGAACAGCAGCCAACGAUGGCCCACUAACGUUCCACCCGUCGUUGAUGGGACUCCGCUCACCUUCCGGGCCCGUGAAGGCCUUUGUCCAUCGUUUACCGGAUGAGGGUCUGAAGGUGUGCCUGUGAGCUGAGUGGACGUUGGGUAGCGGAGCCCAGUAUGGGAAGCUCAAAGAAGUUGGUGUGGAAGCUACAAGACUCCAUGAAGACUGGAUAAUCAAGCAUUGUUUUGGGGUCCCACAGGCUUCUUGGGAGUACUACACACUGAUGCCUGUUGGAGAUGAGAACCAAGAGGCUCCUAGACAAACUGCAGAAACCGUGGCCGUGGAAGGAGGGUCUGAAGGUGUGCCUGUGAGCUGAGUGGACGUUGGGUAGCGGAGCCCAGUAUGGGAAGCUCAAAGAAGUUGGUGUGGAAGCUACGAGACUCCAUGAAGACUGGAUAAUCAAGCAUUGUUUUGGGGUCCCACAGGCUUCUUGGGAGUACUACACACUGAUGCCUGUUGGAGAUGAGAACCAAGAGGCUCCUAGACAAACUGCAGAAACCGUGGCCGUGGAAGGAGCAAUCCUGAACCUCCUCAUUCCUGGAGCAGACAAUGUUCCUGCGGAAGAAACUGAGCAAGCAAGGUUAUAGAAGCGAAACUGGUAAGCAAUGCUUGGAGCACCAUUAGCAGGGCUGCUGGCUUGAACUUAGGGCACGUAGUUGCUACAUAAUUCCAAGAAGGAUGGACUGAGGCUGAGCAGAACUGAAAAGGCAUGGAAAUGCUUUUUCUGGCAAGGCGGGGGUUAAGUCUCUUAGCUAAAUCUCCCAGUUCACUUCCUUGUGGGGUUCUCCCAUAAGCUUUCCUUACACACUCUUUAAAAAUGCCUUUAGCCUGCUGUGAAGCAGCCUUGGUGUCUCUGCCACUUAGAGAUUUUUUCCACUUGUUUGUAUGUAGUUAGCUUAAAGUACGGAAAGAAAUUUAUUUUUCUCUCCCUCCCCCUUCUUCCUAGCA
Phacochoerus africanus (Common warthog) is the source of this 1143-nucleotide long non-coding RNA. RefSeq lists it as uncharacterized. The transcript is spliced from 6 exons. Lineage: Eukaryota; Metazoa; Chordata; Mammalia; Artiodactyla; Suidae. The record is from RefSeq and is a predicted model, not a curated record.